Adelges cooleyi (spruce gall adelgid) is the source of this 1316-nucleotide long non-coding RNA. RefSeq lists it as uncharacterized. The record is from RefSeq and is a predicted model, not a curated record. The transcript has 7 exons. NCBI's taxonomy places the organism in Eukaryota, Metazoa, Arthropoda, Insecta, Hemiptera, Adelgidae.
UACAGCACACUGUAGUACCUAUAUUAAUUAUUAAUUAAAAUUGAAAAUGACUGCCAUUUAUUUCCAUCAUCCGAACGCAUUGAAUUUUACUGAGGCUCGAGUUUACCAUAUCUAAAGUAAGUUGUUGAAGUUUUAGCAAUUGACGCAUCAAUGUGAGGCCGGUAAAACGAAAGGACAGGGAGGGCAACAACUAUCAUGACAUGCCGUCCAAGAACAAAAAGAUCCGACAAGAAAUGGAGAAAGCCAGUGAUUUCUCUGACAUCGAAGACUCAGGUAAAGUAUUCAAUGGCAACCGAAUCCCAGCGAUAUUACCUCCGACUGGGUCGGCAGAGGAGAUGGCCUAUGAUUAGCACUCACAUCGUCGCAAAACAGUUUCAAAAGUUAUUACGGCGAUAUCACCAUCCAUCCGUUCCACAUGAGUCUGACCAGCAUCGUUGGCGCCAACGGCAGCGGCAAGAGAAACAAUAUUGAUAAUUGACCCAACUUGAAAACAAAACAUUUCAAAACAAAUCAAAUUACGACUCGGGCUAAAAAUUAAUAUUUAAUAAAGGAAUAACUAACUUCCAUAAAAGAAGAACUGAAUGAAACAAUAGCUGAGAGUAAGGAAGAUAAAGCCCAAAGCGGAAAAUAAACAUUCGACUGGUAUGCUCGAGUAUUUAGAAGACGCCAUUGGCACCGCUCGAAACCACUUGAAAGGCUGGCCGAAAAAUGCAAGUUUUGGGCGAAGAGAAAAAUGAAAAAAUAAGUUGUUUAAAGUUUAUCGCAAAAGAAAGAGACAAACUCAUAGAACCAGUGGAAACGGCUAUUAGAUAUUUGAGAACGGAAAACCAGUUGAUCCAACUUGAAAACAAAAAAUUUCAAAAACAAUUGUCUGAAGUGAACAAACAAAUUGCGAAUAAAACGGAAGAUCAAAAUUCAAUAAAGGAAAAUUAAAUGCUAUAGAAGAAGAAUUUGAAACAAUAGCCGAGAGUAAGAAAGAUAAAGAAGACGUUUUGCGCAAUCUUACUGAAUUAAGCCUCAAGGAAUGCCGAAAAUUAGAAAAGCCGCAUUCAAGCGUUUGCAGUCAAGUUUGGCGUCAAAGUGAAGUGAAAAUGUUAGAUAAAAUCGCCAAAAAUUUUAACAAAAUCUGAGGAACACUUAGACGAGCAUUUACGACAAUCAGGCCGGCGUAGAGCAGAAUCGUAGACGAAUCACCGAUCUAAACAUGAUUGUCAAGCAGUGUUCAUCGCGUGUGGAAUGAAAAAGAAUAUCAAGUUAACAAAUUGAUAAAAAAAACUUGUAAUCAUACAAAAGGAAACCGACCUAGUCGCAGUUGC